This is an RNA transcript of Coffea arabica (coffee), 2545 nucleotides long. It is a transcript of the gene named KIN17-like protein, with no coding region annotated. The record is from RefSeq and is a predicted model, not a curated record. Lineage: Eukaryota; Viridiplantae; Streptophyta; Magnoliopsida; Gentianales; Rubiaceae.
AAGCCAAAUUCCCAAUUCGUCAAUUUCGCCCAGACUUCACUUCACUCCAGCCCUAAAAUUCUAAAAUCUGUCGCUCCCUUUCCACCUUCUUGCUGCCACCGAUCUUUGCUGCUGUCGCCGACGGCUCAUCUGAAAUCUCCAAGUAAGUUCCUACUAGAGAGUACAGGCUUUAUACCACCAAUUUCCAGUCUCAUCUCCUACACUUUGUCCGAAGAGUCCAAACCUAACUGCCUAUAUAUUCUGAAUCAAUUCCUGCUGCCUUCUUCGAUUCUCCAUCCAGUCCCCGGCAGAGUUGCAGAAGUUGGGAAGGAAAAAGAUAUAUAUAGGGUGGCCGUCUACAGACUAGAGGGGUCAAAACAAUCCUACUGAAAUCAAUUCUUGAUCCGCUGCCAUGGGAAAGAACGAGUUCCUGACGCCAAAGGCAAUAGCUAAUAGAAUCAAAGCGAAAGGCUUACAAAAACUCCGAUGGUAUUGUCAGAUGUGCCAAAAGCAAUGCCGGGAUGAGAAUGGCUUCAAGUGCCACUGCAUGAGCGAAUCACACCAGCGACAGAUGCAGGUUUUCGGCCAAAACCCUAAUCGAAUCAUCGAUGGCUAUUCUGAAGAGUUCGAACAAGCGUUUCUCGAACAUAUGAAGCGUAGUCACCGCUUUAGUCGCAUCGCCGCCACUGUGGUAUAUAACGAGUACAUCGCCGAUCGCUACCAUAUUCAUAUGAAUUCAACUCAGUGGGCGACUUUGACGGAGUUUGUUAAGUAUUUGGGGAGGACUGGCAAGUGUAAAGUUGAGGAAACUCCAAAAGGGUGGUUUAUUACUUAUAUUGAUCGUGAUUCGGAGACCUUGUUUAAGGAGAAGAUGAAGAAUAAGAGGAUUAGGGCGGAUUUAGCAGAGGAGGAGAAGCAGGAGAGGGAGAUUAAGAAGCAGAUUGAGCGUGCCGAGCAGCUGAUGUCAACUGGGAAUGAACAGGAAGUUCAGGAGAAAAGGUUGUUUGAGAAAUCGGAGAACGAGAAAAUUAAGUUAAGUUUGGGAUCAUUGUCGAAAAGUAAUUUGAAGGAGGAGAGUUCUAGGGUUGUUUUUGAUGAUGUGGAGAAUGAGAGUAAAGGCGACAAGGGGAAUAAAGGCAGUGGAAAGAUGGGAAGCUCAGUGUUGGAUGAGUUGAUGAGGGAAGAAGAGAAGGCGAAGGAGAGGAGUAAUAGGAAGGAUUAUUGGUUGUGUGAGGGGAUUAUUGUGAAGGUAAUGAGCAGGGCACUGGCAGAAAAGGGGUACUAUAAGCAGAAAGGCAUAGUGCAGAAAGUGAUUGAUAAGUAUGUUGGGGAAAUUGAGAUGCUAGAGAGUAAGCAUGUCUUGAGAAUUGAUCAAGAAGAGCUUGAGACUGUGAUUCCACAAAUUGGAGGACUUGUGAGAAUAGUUAAUGGGGCUUAUCGUGGGUCAUAUGCUAGGCUGCUAGCUGUUGAUACAGAUAAGUUCUGUGCUAAGGUGCAGAUUGAGAAGGGGAUUUAUGAUGGCAGGGUGAUUAAGGCCAUUGAGUAUGAAGAUAUCUGCAAAGUGGCUCAAUGAAAAAUGUUGAUAAGAAUGUACUAACUGUAUUGUGAUCAAGUGGUAAUUGUUCUACUUUCCAGAGUUGUUCAGUACCAUGAUAGUCUGCAUCUUUUAUGAAUGAUUGCAAUCUUCUUUCUUUUCCAGAAGAUCAAGGAAACUGCUAGUAUUGAUAUUGUUGACAUUCUUGACACAUAUUCUCAUGGUACCAGAGUUGCUUGGGAAAUUUGGGAGGAUUUGUUGUGACUUUAUUUAACAGAAGAUGCAUGAGACAGAGUGAAGUUGAAUGUUCUAGCAGCAAGUGCCUUCUUUCAAAAAAACCAGCAAAUGGGGACAAGGUGUAUUGAAAAGAGAAAAUUGAAGGUUCUGCUCGAGGAUUUGAAAUUUAUGGCCUAAUCUUCUGCCAAAGUUGUGUUGUGUGUGCUAUGAAUUGAUCUGGUUCGUAUAUUUCUUUUCUGUACUUAGUCCCUUUUUCCCCUUUUAUUUUAGAUAGCUGAGGAACCAAAACUUGGUUGCUAUGGAACAAUUAGUUUUGCCACUGUCAAGCCUACAUCUCCAGACCUCUUAGUUUGACCAGUCUUUCCCUUGGACUUCUGCUGAUAUUGGUCUUUAAGGCGGGAGGAGGGGGAAAAAAGGAAAAACAACUAGAUUGAACAUGAUUUGUUCUGUAUGUUUUGAAUGCCAAUGGAAAAAAUUCUAGGUUGUUCAACAGUCUUCAAUCUAGAAUUGAGAGCCCUUGGUAAUUCUGCUUAAUCUUCGUUAUUGUCAUGGUACAAAGUGAAUAGUUGCUCUAUGUGUAUACAUUCUUGUGCUUGUUUUCAUCAAUUUCACUAGUUGCUUGAAGUGCUAGUCGUAUCUUAUUCCACUGUCCACUCUGUACAUUAUACCUGAAGGUAGUUCAUCUAACUACGUUAAAGGUAGUUGGUUUAGUGAUAGUUAUAUGAUGUUAUUAUAUCUGUUUUAUUGGACUUGAUAUUCAAUUGGAAAUAAAAUAUGUGGCGAAUCUUAGCACUA